GAGUUGAGCGUAGCGAAACAACGGAGCCGCUCGCGGCGACGGCCCGAAGGGCGAGCGAAGCGAGUCAUCCUGCACGACCCACCA
Molecule: small RNA, 84 nt
Filed under: Escherichia coli
Lineage: Bacteria; Pseudomonadati; Pseudomonadota; Gammaproteobacteria; Enterobacterales; Enterobacteriaceae
Description: partial RtT sRNA
Rfam family: RtT RNA
About the family: This family represents a bacterial cis-regulatory element known as RtT RNA. The exact function of RtT is unknown although it is thought that it may be involved in changing the cellular response in relation to amino acid starvation.
Source: RNAcentral